GGGGUGAUCUACCCAUGGUCAGGUUGAAGCAGAGGUAAGACUGUGUGGAGGACCGAACCCACCAGGGUUGAAAACCUGGGGGAUGAACUGUGGGUAGGGGUGAAAGGCCAAUCAAACUCCGUGAUAGCUGGUUCUCCCCGAAAUGCAUUUAGGUGCAGCGUCGCGUGGUCCCUGGUGGAGGUAGAGCUACUGGAUGGCCGAUGGGCCCUUUGGGUUACUGACGUCAGCCAAACUCCGAAUGCCAUUAGGUGUAGCGCGGCAGUGAGACUGCGGGGGAUAAGCUUCGUAGUCGAGAGGGAAACAGCCCAGAUCAUCAGCUAAGGCCCCUAAGCGUACGCUAAGUGGGAAAGGAUGUGGAGUCGCGGUGACAACCAGGAGGUUGGCUUAGAAGCAGCCAUCCUUGAAAGAGUGCGUAAUAGCUCACUGGUCAAGUGGUUCUGCGCCGACAAUGUAGCGGGGCUCAAGCGUACCGCCGAAGCUGUGGCAACAACACGCAAUGCUGGCGCCAGGAACUGGAGUGCUGGUGUGUUGUUGGGUAGGGGAGCGUCCUGCACGAGGUGAAGCCUGGAGGGAACUUCUGGUGGAUUGUGUGGGAGUGAGAAUGCAGGCAUGAGUAACGAAUCUGCGGUGAGAAUCCGCAGCGCCGAUUGACUAAGGGUUCCAGGGCUAGGUUUAUCCGCCCUGGGUUAGUCGGGUCCUAAGCUGAGGCCGACAGGCGUAGUCGAUGGACAACCAGUUGAUAUUCUGGUACCGCGUUAUGACCGCCCAUGCUGAAGUCAUUGUGCUAACCAAUCUGCUCACGCCGCCACUAAGCCUUCGGGUUUGUUGGUGUGUGUGGGUCUUGGGGCCCCGGUGAUUGUAGGCAAGCGUGUUAACAGGGGUGACGCAGACAGGUAGCUGCAGUGCGCCGAUGGUUGUGCGUAUUUAAGGUUGUGGCCCGCCGCCCAGGUAAAUCCGGGGGGCACUAGGGGUGAGAACUGAUGAGGGACACACGCGUGUGUGGACUUGUGGUGAUCCUAUGCUGCCGAGAAAAGCCUCGACGUGAGGGCAUAACGCGCCCGUACCCUAAACCGACUCAGGUGGUCAGGUAGAGUAUACCGAGGCGUUCGAGUGAAUCGUGGUUAAGGAACUCGGCAAAAUUCCUCCGUAACUUCGGGAUAAGGAGGACCCCGUGACUUCCCCGUGCCUUGCGCGCGGUGUGGGGUUGUGGGGUCGCAGAGAAUAGGGAGAAGCGACUGUUUAUCAAAAACACAGGUGCGUGCGAAGCCGUAAGGCGAUGUAUACGCACUGACGCCUGCCCGGUGCUGGAAGGUUAAGAGGAACCGUCAACACUCCUUUGGGGUGUGAAGCGGUGAAUUUAAGCCCCAGUAAACGGCGGUGGUAACUAUAACCAUCCUAAGGUAGCGAAAUUCCUUGUCGGGGAAGUUCCGACCUACACGAAUGGCGUAACGA
This 1452-nucleotide ribosomal RNA is filed under the name human gut metagenome. RNAcentral describes it as "bacterial LSU rRNA". It matches the Rfam family "Bacterial large subunit ribosomal RNA", at positions 722 to 2007 of the family's 2925-position model. The record is from RNAcentral.